This 177-nucleotide small nuclear RNA is filed under the name Fukomys damarensis (Damara mole-rat). RNAcentral's name for it is "U2 spliceosomal RNA". It matches the Rfam family "U2 spliceosomal RNA". Rfam says of the family: U2 is a small nuclear RNA (snRNA) component of the spliceosome (involved in pre-mRNA splicing). The record is from Rfam by way of RNAcentral. Lineage: Eukaryota; Metazoa; Chordata; Mammalia; Rodentia; Bathyergidae.
AUCGCUUCUCGGCCUUUUGGCUAAGAUCAAGUGUAGAAUUAUGCUUCCCACAAAAAAUUUUCUCAUUCUAAAACAUUUAACUAGAAGCUGUUACACAGGAUUUGUGUUAUCUAAGACUCUUCUCAAGUUUCAUGUCUUAAUUAGGUUACCAGAGAUACUGUACUUUAAAAACCCCAA